RNA transcript from Rosa chinensis, 4580 nucleotides. It is a transcript of the gene named DNA repair protein REV1-like, with no coding region annotated. The record is from RefSeq and is a predicted model, not a curated record. The transcript is spliced from 10 exons. NCBI's taxonomy places the organism in Eukaryota, Viridiplantae, Streptophyta, Magnoliopsida, Rosales, Rosaceae.
AUCCCCGUUUGCUCAUUCUUACCGGUGUACCAUAUGUUUCUAUCGGUUUCUUGUUUCUUCUACAGCCGUAGACUUGCGCUGGUUUCUUCUCUCUUUUGUUGGUUUCUCUCUUCCUCCUUAUGCCCCUAGGUUUAUCAAGUUAUCGCCGUCUAGCGCCCGAUCUUUUUCCACGCUGUUGGCCUCCCAAUACUCACUUGCGAAUCUUUUUAUUUUGUAGUUGUAUGACCACGAUUGAGUGAGUGGGUUACUUGUUCUGUGAGUUUGGAUUUGGUUCAUUCUUUUCUGCUCACUAGCUAUCUUCUCUAAUUUGGAUGUUGUGAUUGGCUUUUGAUGCAGUUUUUUGUUACAUCUUUUGGAUUGCUUGCUUUUGGUGCAAAGAGUUUUGUGAUCGGCGGGUUAUGGUUUUUGAUAAAGGGAGAGGGGAUUUCUCAAUUUGUGAUUUUUGUUGAUGAAUUUUGGUUUGUAGUUUUCAAUCGAAUUGGUUGCUAACCAAUUUUGGGUGUGAUUUUUUUAUUUUUUCUAGGUUUGCUUAUUUGAAGAUAUUUGAGACUUGGAUUUGUAUAUAUUUGAUUUAGAGGAAUUGCAUAGUGUGAGGAGAAUAAGGUCGACUAGAAAGUUAGGAAGUUCUGCGGCAAGGUCAGUCCGUUUUGCUGCUGAAAUUUUGAGAUAUUUCCUAAUGUCAUUUAAGGGUGUUGAAUUUCUGUGCAUAUCAAUAAUCAACUAGACUGUUAGGUUACCAACAUUGCUUUUCCUUCUGAGUUCAAAUGAAUUUGUUUUUUGACAUUCAGUCUGGUUUUUCUUUUGUUUGUUUUUGGUUGCAUAUGGUUUUGUGCAAUUUGUCCUUAGUUUCUUAGAGUAUUCUUCAUGUUCUUUUAUUCUGGAUCUGGAUCUGUUUGUUAAGCAUUAGUAGUUGUUUCUUCCAUGUUUGGUUUAUGGAUUUGCUUCUGACAACUGUUGUCAAUAUAUAUAUGUAUAUGAGUCAAUCUGGCAAUGACAGAUCAACCCUAUUGUAGUAGGAUUUAUAUUAGGAUUACAGGGCCCCACUCUAAAUUGACCAUGGACUUGAAAACCAAGACAUAUAUAUAUAUAUCCCUAAACAUAUAGCUGCAUGUAUCUUUCUAUCUAUUCAUCUAAGUAAUCACUUUUUACAACCCUCCUACAUCCCUAUAUGCUUAGCUUAGCCUAGCUUCCAAAAUUGAAUUAUUUCACCUACCUGGCUUUCAUACAAAAUUCAUCUAGACGUUUCCAUUGUCCGUAUCUAAUUAAUCCAAGUUUGGAUUCGUUAAUUUCGCACUGAAGAUGCUAACCACAAAGUUUGGUUCUAUUAUAUUUGCAUGCACACCAUCUGUAUUCCAAAACUGAAAUGCCAGAAGCAUGAAAUAACGUAGCUUUAAUCUGGUUUGUUUAAUUGAGCAUGAAAUUUGCAAAGGCUAUUUAUCUUUUGGUGAGUUCAUCAUGAAAAUCACUAGCUAGCUAAUACAGAUGCUAAUGAAGUAGAUGACAAAACCAGAGCAUGCAUGCUUUGGGCAUUUACAGGGUUUCAGUUUGCCUUCAUUUCCAGUAAGUGGUAUAACGCAAACAAAACACUACCUUAUAAGUUAGUGAGGAAGACCUCAUGAAUUGCAUGCAGUUUCCUACCUUAAAGCUUUUUCUUCCAUUUGGAUAGAAACUCCAAACUCCAGAGGGGCUUGAAGUUGGAGAAGAGAAUAUGACCAAAAACCGGACUCAGGAUUCAAAUUUAUAUCUGUGAAUGGCUCACUAUUAUGGGAUAGCCAUUUAAGACUAAGGCUAAAAGAUAUCUAUGUACUAUUAGAGGGUUGUUGAUCUUAGUGUUCACAAAGAUGUGCACAGCAACUACUGCAUAACAGAAUAUUGCUUUGUUGGAUACAAAGUCCUUUCAAUAGGUCAAGAACUAAGUGAAGCAUGUAAUUUUCUCUUCUAUAGUUUCAAUAAUCAUGUAAAAUAAAUGGCAACCAAGAAUUCUUCCUUCAGUGAUGCAUUGGUUUCUGGCAUUAUUGAUCAACUGAAUUUGCUACAUGAUAAGUAGCUGUUUUUGUUUUGUGUGUUUUUUCUUCUUCUGCUUUUUAGGCAAUUACCUGAUCAUCUCAUACACACGUCUUAGUGGACCGCUGUCUCACUCUCUCUCAUCUGCAUCACUUCCUCGUCGAAUGAAACAAAUUCACUCACCACGGAUGGGUGAUUCUCUCACCUUCUCGAUCUGCCUCUACAUUCUUUUGCUAAAUCUGUUUUCCCUCAAACCCUCGUUUUCUCCACAGCCCCUCUUGCUCUUUCUCUCCGAUCUUGAUGUCACCCACCAAAUUGAACUUCGAAGAACUUCAUGGCCCUUGGGUUGACUUCGAUUCGGGGAUUAUUAUUUUUGGGUAAUCUCAAUUUAAAUCUCCUCUCUUGUCGAACCCGAUGAUUCAGAUUCAAUGGCCAGGUCACUUGUGUGAGGCUCGUCUGAGCAGCAUGCGAAGGCACUUGAUCGAAGGAGCAGUAGCAACAUGUUCCCUUCCACAACUAUCGCUCAUUCGGAUGAAUACUACAAAUCUGAUCAAAGAAAGCAUAAGAAUGGGCUACAAUGAUUUUGGAGAUUUCCAUUAUUCUCAUGGCAACUUGGGGAUGCUUUUAAGAGCUAUGUUUGUACUCUUGAUUAUUGUACUACAUCAAAGCAUACUGUUCAUAGGUGCAUGUGUUCCAUUCUGGUCAGCAUAGAGAUGGGUCAAUUUACUCAUGUCGCAAGCAAUGUUAACAAAGCAGAACAAACACUAGAAGCUAUGUCGCAAGCUAUGAUAAUCUUCACAAGUAGUUUGUUGCAUGGUUUUAUGAUUAUCAUAAACUUUUUUGGCCUAUUAAUGCUUAAAUGUACAUGAAAGUAAAAUUUUCUAUGUUAAUUGAUGAAUGCCUCAAGGACCUAAAAAUUUCAAUAAAGCUGUCAAGGUGCUUAUCAUUUGUCUUAAGAAGAUUGAUAAUGACAACUAUCUUGAGGUACUAUCUUCUUUAUUUGAGCUAAAAGAUAAGCUUCUUAUGCAAAUUAACUUCUUUAUUUGAUUAUGUACUGUUUUAUAAUAGCUGAACUAAGGAUGAAUGUUGAAAGCAUUUUCAUGUUUUGUUUACAUAUGUGCUUGCAGAAAAUGAUAGUAGCAGAUGAUUAGAUUAAAGCCCUGAAGUCUGAACUCAGUCGUAAGCUUGCCGGAAUUCAAUGAAUGGACAGCUCAAGAUAUUCUUGAAACUUCAAGCAGCUCAAUUAUAAAUAAGAAAUUUUUGGACAGCAUAAUGCAAUUAUGUGGGUUCUUUCUCCUACUUCUAGAUACCCAUAUGAUGCAAUUACCGUCUCAAAGUUGCUAUGUCAAUGAGUAGAGAGAAAUAGAUUGAAAUUUUUCUGAAUGCAUGCAUUUGAGGUUGCCUUCUUCGUUUGGGUUCCAGCCCAAUUUGGAGUAAAAUUGUGCUACCACGUGCACACUGUGAUCAUUGUUACAAGAGUUCUCUUAGCGUAAGAGUAUCGAAAACUUAUAUCAGGAGCUUCUUCCUCCCAAGCACAAUGAUUAUCAUAAGAUGCUCGUAAGAUGCUGAGGUUUGUUCCUCUUCUUUUUCCCCAAGUAUUUUGUUUAUUAUUGGAGUGGAUUGGAUGUUAGAGAACUUGCAAUUCAAUUUGGGUGUGUUCAGAUCAUUCUCUUUGUUCCAAAGGGUUUACCCCUGUAAGUUUUAAUUCUCUUUUUGACAUGUGUUAUCAACUUAUCAUAGAGCAUGGUACCACAUGUGGAAGUCACCUAAAUUGUUUCUGCAAUUGGAUAUAAUUCAUGUAUAAGAUUAUGAUUUGCCCAGUUUUCUUAGGUAUACCAGGACAGACGCAACUUUUACUUCCUAAUUUUGUUCCUAAAUAUGCUGUAGGACUUUUUUUUUUUUUUUUUUUUUUUUUGUUGUGUUCGUGGUCAUCGGGUAACACCCUGAACUUAAGGAUAGGCUUGCUGCUGUACAUCAUUCUGAUAAUCCAAAGGACACUGCUGAAGUUUCCUCUGCAAACUACUCUGCUCGAGAUUAUGGAGUGAGGGCUGCGAUGUUUGUCAGAGAUGCUAAGGCUCUUUGUCCACAACUUGUCAUUUUUCCUUAUGAUUUUGAAGCGUAUGAGGAGGUGCAUGAUUAUUUAUAUGAACUUCCCAUCAAGACGCUUCCAGGAAUAGGACGCAUUUUAGAGGAGAAAUUGAAGAAGCGAAAUAUUUUGAUUUAUGGACAGUUGCGUGCGAUUCCUAAGGUGUCUUUAUUGAUGAAUCUGAUGAUAAAAGGCCUUGUUCACAUUAGUGACACUAAAGCCCUUUUAAUUUCUCAGGGUGACCACCUAAGUCCUCUGCAGCUACAUUACUCUUCCUCCGUAUGCACUUGUAACACAGGGUAAGAUACUAGAAGAUAAUAUGGCUGGCAUUCUAAAGUAAUGGCACCAUGAUGUGAGGAGGAAAAGGAAGAAGGAAGAAGGAAGAACAAGAAUCACAAUCUGCACGCACGUCUCUUUCCCUGGAAUGGAGCUCCAUGAGGCACAACAUAUGUAUGUGCAGAUUUCUUACGUACCUCUGGUAUGAAUCAAA